CAACAGGGUUUUAUGUUCAAUGAUGUUGUGCGUAUGGCACAUACACUACUGGACCUUCAAAGGGGAUUAAGUAUGAUUUGAUUUCUCCAUAUUGCAACAUAAUAACCUACGUGGCUCUGAACUUCGAGAACAAGACCACCAACAGGGACCACAACAGUAAGAACUAACAUUACAGAGCAAUGAUCCUAGGUAUAUGUGAGCUUCUUUGGCUACAGAAGUUACUUCAGAAGUUACGACUUCGGAAUAAGUUUCCUCUUCAACUGUAAAAUUACAACAAGAC
This 280-nucleotide long non-coding RNA is filed under the name Elaeis guineensis (African oil palm). Its description in RNAcentral is "long non-coding RNA (EGUI_LNC080645)". The record is from RNAcentral. Lineage: Eukaryota; Viridiplantae; Streptophyta; Magnoliopsida; Arecales; Arecaceae.